UCGAGAAUCUUCGGCAAUGAGCGCAAGCUUGACCGAGCGACGCCGCGUGCGGGAUGAAGGCCCUCGGGUUGUAAACCGCUGUCGAGGGGGAGGAAGGCGCAAGCUUGACCUAUCCCUGGAGGAAGCACGGGCUAAGUUCGUGCCAGCAGCCGCGGUAAGACGAACUGUGCGAACGUUGUUCGGAAUCACUGGGCUUAAAGGGUGCGUAGGCGGCUCGUUAAGUCGGGGGUGAAAUACUUCGGCUCAACCGGAGAAUUGCCUUCGAUACUGGCGGGCUUGAGGAAGGUAGGGGUCGCGGGAACUGCCAGUGGAGCGGUGAAAUGCGUUGAUAUUGGCAGGAACGCCGGUGGUGAAGACGCGCGGCUGGACCUUUUCUGACGCUGAUGCACGAAAGCCAGGGGAGCAAACGGGAUUAGAUACCCGGGUAGUCC
Molecule: ribosomal RNA, 431 nt
Filed under: uncultured bacterium
Lineage: Bacteria
Description: bacterial SSU rRNA
Rfam family: Bacterial small subunit ribosomal RNA
Source: RNAcentral